GAAAUGCGAUACGUAAUGUGAAUCGCAGCUAUUCGUGAAUCAUCGAAUCUUUGAACGCAUAUUGCACUUUCUAGUUUACUGGAAAGUAUGUCUGUUUGAGUAUCAUUUUACUCUAUCCCACCAACUCUUUGGAGCGAGUGGGGACUUGGGUGUCACCUGUUGGCGACACUUUGAAUUUAGGGGCGUGCAACUCUUAACGCUAGUCUAGUCUUUGAUUACACUUGGCGUACCAGUCGCAACAUCUUAUCAUGCCAAACGGAGUGGUAAGGUGGAUGGUACUGCGUGUGAUCUAGUCCAGUCUACGAGUUGUCCAGAUGAAAGCGUUUUUAACGUGAUCUCAAAUCAGACAAGAGUACCCGCUGAACUUAA
Molecule: unclassified non-coding RNA, 369 nt
Filed under: uncultured fungus
Lineage: Eukaryota; Fungi
Description: sequence contains ITS1
Rfam family: 5.8S ribosomal RNA (bases 1-105)
Source: RNAcentral